Molecule: non-coding RNA, 96 nt
Organism: Tirmania nivea
Lineage: Eukaryota; Fungi; Ascomycota; Pezizomycetes; Pezizales; Pezizaceae
Source: the annotation of a GenBank genome assembly
GGCAUAGUGGUCUAAUGGUAUGACUCCUGCUAUAUAAUGCUCUGCUGGCUCCAGGCAGAGUGUGGGUGGUCUGGGUUCAAAAUCCUAGCUGAGCCG